AUUGAACGCUGGCGGUAGGCCUAACACAUGUAAGUCGAGCGGAUGAAGGGAGCUUGCUCCUGGAUACAGCGGCGGACGGGCGAGUAAUGCCUAAGAAUAUGGCUGGUAAUGGGUGAUAGCGUCAGGAAACGGGCGCUAAUACCGCAUACGCCCUGAGGGCGAAAGGGGGGGAUCUUCGGACCUUCCGCCAUUAGACGAGCCUAUGUCGGAUUAGCUAGUUGGUGGGGUAAAGGCCUACCAAGGCGACGAUCCGUAACUGGUCUGAGAGGAUGAUCAGUCACACUGGAACUGAGACACGGUCCAGACUCCUACGGGAGGCAGCAGUGGGGAAUAUUGGACAAUGGGCGAAAGCCUGAUCCAGCCAUGCCGCGUGUGUGAAGAAGGUCUUCGGAUUGUAAAGCACUUUAAUUUGGGAGGAAAAGCAGUAAGUUAAUACCUUGCUGUUUUGACGUUACCAACAGAAUAAGCACCGGCUAACUUCGUG
RNAcentral lists this ribosomal RNA (484 nucleotides) under uncultured bacterium. Its description in RNAcentral is "partial 16S ribosomal RNA". It matches the Rfam family "Bacterial small subunit ribosomal RNA", at positions 30 to 507 of the family's 1533-position model. The record is from RNAcentral.